This 520-nucleotide ribosomal RNA is filed under the name uncultured Glomus. Its description in RNAcentral is "SSU rRNA". It matches the Rfam family "Eukaryotic small subunit ribosomal RNA", at positions 569 to 1090 of the family's 1831-position model. The record is from RNAcentral. Lineage: Eukaryota; Fungi; Glomeromycota; Glomeromycetes; Glomerales; Glomeraceae.
AGCAGCCGCGGUAAUUCCAGCUCCAAUAGCGUAUAUUAAAGUUGUUGCAGUUAAAAAGCUCGUAGUUGAAUUUCGGGGUCAGUAGGUUGGUCAUGCCACUGGUAUGUACUGGUCUCACUGAUUCCUCCUUCCUGAUGAACCGUAAUGCCAUUAAUUUGGUGUUGCGGGGAGACUGGACUGUUACUUUGAAAAAAUUAGAGUGUUUAAAGUAGGCUAACGCUUGAAUACAUUAGCAUGGAAUAAUGAAAUAGGACGUUCGAUCCUAUUUUGUUGGUUUCUAGGAUUGACGUAAUGAUUAAUAGGGAUAGUUGGGGGCAUUAGUAUUCAAUUGUCAGAGGUGAAAUUCUUGGAUUUAUUGAAGACUAACUACUGCGAAAGCAUUUGCCAAGGAUGUUUUCAUUAAUCAAGAACGAAAGUUAGGGGAUCGAAGACGAUCAGAUACCGUCGUAGUCUUAACCAUAAACUAUGCCGACUAGGGAUCGGACGAUGUUAAUUUUAUAAUGACUCAUUCGGCGCCUUA